AUAGGUGGUUAUUGCAAUGGGGUUCACCUCUUACCUUUCCGAACAGAGAAGUUAAGUCCAUUAGCGCAGAUGGUACUGCCAUUUUGGUGGGAGAGUAUGUCGCCGCCUUCU
Flavobacteriaceae bacterium TMED116 is the source of this 111-nucleotide non-coding RNA. The record is from Rfam. NCBI's taxonomy places the organism in Bacteria, Pseudomonadati, Bacteroidota, Flavobacteriia, Flavobacteriales, Flavobacteriaceae.